This 431-nucleotide ribosomal RNA is filed under the name uncultured bacterium. RNAcentral's name for it is "partial 16S ribosomal RNA". It matches the Rfam family "Bacterial small subunit ribosomal RNA", at positions 29 to 507 of the family's 1533-position model. The record is from RNAcentral.
AACGAACGCUGGCGGCAGGCCUAACACAUGCAAGUCGAGCGCCCUUUCGGGGUAGCGGCGGACGGGUGAGUAUCGCGUGGGAAUAUGACCUUCUCUAAGGAAUAGCCUCGGGAAACUGAGCGUACUACCGUAUACGCCCUAUGGCGGAAAGACUUAUCGGGGAAGGAUUAGCCCGCGUUAGAUUAGGUAGUUGGUGGGGUAAUGGCCUACCAAGCCGACGAUCCAUAGCUGGUUUGAGAGGAUGAUCAGCCACACUGGAACUGAGACACGGCCCAGACUCCUACGGGAGGCAGCAGUGGGGAAUCUUAGACAAUGGGGGCAACCCUGAUCGAGCCAUGCCGCGUGAGUGAUGAAGGCCUUAGGGUUGUAAAGCGCUUUCAGCUGGGAAGAUAAUGACGGUACCAGCAGAAGAAGCCCCGGCUAACUCCGUG